ACUUAAAUUGAAGAGUUUGAUCAUGGCUCAGAUUGAACGCUGGCGGCAGGCCUAACACAUGCAAGUCGAGCGGUAGCACAGAGAGCUUGCUCUCGGGUGACGAGCGGCGGACGGGUGAGUAAUGUCUGGGAAACUGCCUGAUGGAGGGGAUAACUACUGGAAACGGUAGCUAAUACCGCAUAAUGUCGCAAGACCAAAGUGGGGGACCUUCGGGCCUCAUGCCAUCAGAUGUGCCCAGAUGGGAUUAGCUAGUAGGUGGGGUAACGGCUCACCUAGGCGACGAUCCCUAGCUGGUCUGAGAGGAUGACCAGCCACACUGGAACUGAGACACGGUCCAGACUCCUACGGGAGGCAGCAGUGGGGAAUAUUGCACAAUGGGCGCAAGCCUGAUGCAGCCAUGCCGCGUGUGUGAAGAAGGCCUUCGGGUUGUAAAGCACUUUCAGCGGGGAGGAAGGCGUUAAGGUUAAUAACCUUGGCGAUUGACGUUACCCGCAGAAGAAGCACCGGCUAACUCCGUGCCAGCAGCCGCGGUAAUACGGAGGGUGCAAGCGUUAAUCGGAAUUACUGGGCGUAAAGCGCACGCAGGCGGUCUGUCAAGUCGGAUGUGAAAUCCCCGGGCUCAACCUGGGAACUGCAUUCGAAACUGGCAGGCUAGAGUCUUGUAGAGGGGGUAGAAUUCCAGGUGUAGCGGUGAAAUGCGUAGAGAUCUGGAGGAAUACCGGUGGCGAAGGCGGCCCCCUGGACAAAGACUGACGCUCAGGUGCGAAAGCGUGGGGAGCAAACAGGAUUAGAUACCCUGGUAGUCCACGCCGUAAACGAUGUCGAUUUGGAGGUUGUGCCCUUGAGGCGUGGCUUCCGGAGCUAACGCGUUAAAUCGACCGCCUGGGGAGUACGGCCGCAAGGUUAAAACUCAAAUGAAUUGACGGGGGCCCGCACAAGCGGUGGAGCAUGUGGUUUAAUUCGAUGCAACGCGAAGAACCUUACCUGGUCUUGACAUCCACAGAACUUUCCAGAGAUGGAUUGGUGCCUUCGGGAACUGUGAGACAGGUGCUGCAUGGCUGUCGUCAGCUCGUGUUGUGAAAUGUUGGGUUAAGUCCCGCAACGAGCGCAACCCUUAUCCUUUGUUGCCAGCGGUUAGGCCGGGAACUCAAAGGAGACUGCCAGUGAUAAACUGGAGGAAGGUGGGGAUGACGUCAAGUCAUCAUGGCCCUUACGACCAGGGCUACACACGUGCUACAAUGGCAUAUACAAAGAGAAGCGACCUCGCGAGAGCAAGCGGACCUCAUAAAGUAUGUCGUAGUCCGGAUUGGAGUCUGCAACUCGACUCCAUGAAGUCGGAAUCGCUAGUAAUCGUAGAUCAGAAUGCUACGGUGAAUACGUUCCCGGGCCUUGUACACACCGCCCGUCACACCAUGGGAGUGGGUUGCAAAAGAAGUAGGUAGCUUAACCUUCGGGAGGGCGCUUACCACUUUGUGAUUCAUGACUGGGGUGAAGUCGUAACAAGGUAACCGUAGGGGAACCUGCGGUUGGAUCACCUCCUUACCUUAAAGAA
RNAcentral lists this ribosomal RNA (1552 nucleotides) under Klebsiella pneumoniae. RNAcentral describes it as "bacterial SSU rRNA". It matches the Rfam family "Bacterial small subunit ribosomal RNA". Lineage: Bacteria; Pseudomonadati; Pseudomonadota; Gammaproteobacteria; Enterobacterales; Enterobacteriaceae. The record is from RNAcentral.